This 352-nucleotide ribosomal RNA is filed under the name uncultured bacterium. Its description in RNAcentral is "bacterial SSU rRNA". It matches the Rfam family "Bacterial small subunit ribosomal RNA", at positions 8 to 350 of the family's 1533-position model. The record is from RNAcentral.
AGAGUUUGAUCAUGGCUCAGGAUGAACGCUAGCUACAGGCUUAACACAUGCAAGUCGAGGGGAAACGACAUCGAAAGCUUGCUUUUGAUGGGCGUCGACCGGCGCACGGGCGAGUAACGCGUAUCCAACCUGCCCACCACUUGGGGAUAACCUUGCGAAAGUAAGACUAAAUACCCAAUGACGUCUCUAGAAGACAUCUGAAAGAGAUUAAAGAUUUAUCGGUGAUGGAUGGGGAUGCGUCUGAUUAGCUUGUUGGCGGGGUAACGGCCGACCAAGGCGACGAUCAGUAGGGGUUCUGAGAGGAAGGUCCCCACAUUGGAACUGAGACACGGUCCAAACUCCUACGGAGGCA